RNAcentral lists this ribosomal RNA (774 nucleotides) under uncultured Neocallimastigales. RNAcentral describes it as "partial large subunit ribosomal RNA". It matches the Rfam family "Eukaryotic large subunit ribosomal RNA", at positions 23 to 646 of the family's 3401-position model. Lineage: Eukaryota; Fungi; Neocallimastigomycota; Neocallimastigomycetes; Neocallimastigales. The record is from RNAcentral.
AGAGAGAGACAUGCGUGCAUAUCAAUAAGCGGAGGAAAAGAAACUAACAAGGAUUCCCCUAGUAACGGCGAGUGAAGCGGGAAGAGCUCAAAUUUGAAAUCUUAAAGGGUUUCCCUUUACGAAUUGUAGUUUAAAGAAGUGUUUUCUGUUGAGGUUUUGGUAAAAGUUCUUUGGAAUAGGACAUCAUAGAGGGUGAGAAUCCCGUAUUUGACCUUUACUUUCAACUUUGUGAUACACUUUCAAAGAGUCGGAUUGUUUGGGAAUGCAGUCCAAAAUGGGUGGUAAAUUUCAUCUAAAGCUAAAUAUUGGCGAGAGACCGAUAGCGAACAAGUACCGUGAGGGAAAGAUGAAAAGAACUUUGAAAAGAGAGUUAAACAGUACGUGAAAUUGUCAAAAGGGAAGCGUUUGACACCAGUGUUGUUUUUCUGAAAAUCAAUUAAAGAACUGUUUAUGCUAAGUUGUUUAGACUUUAUCAGCUAACUGUUUAGUUUUGAGCUUUUCUUUAAUGCACUUUUCAGUUAACAAGUCAACAUCAAUUUCUUUUGCUGUAAAAAAGCUUGAGGAAGGUGGCUUGAGAUUCGUCUUAAGUGUUUAUAGCCUCUUGCCUAUGCAGUCGGAGAGAUUGAGGUCUGCAGCGUAGAUCCUUCGGGGCUAAAUGCAUUUGUGCUAAGUUAUAGCAUUUUAUAGACAACUUGUUGACUAUGAUUUGUCUUGUAGCUUACUCGCUUAUGUUAUUUUACCUACGCUUAGGAUGUUGAUGUGAUACUGCGAGCA